CACGUAGGGCGCAAGCGUUGUCCGGAAUUAUUGGGCGUAAAGCGCUCGUAGGCGGUCUGUUGCGUCAGCUGUGAAAUCUCGGGGCUUAACCCCGAGCCUGCAGUGGAUACGGGCAGACUAGAGGUAGGUAGGGGAGAAUGGAAUUCCUGGUGUAGCGGUGAAAUGCGCAGAUAUCGGGAGGAACACCGGUGGCGAAGGCGGUUCUCUGGGCCUGACCUGACGCUGAGACGCGAAAGCGUGGGGAGCAAACAGG
Molecule: ribosomal RNA, 253 nt
Filed under: uncultured bacterium
Lineage: Bacteria
Description: partial 16S ribosomal RNA
Rfam family: Bacterial small subunit ribosomal RNA
Source: RNAcentral